RNAcentral lists this ribosomal RNA (154 nucleotides) under uncultured bacterium. RNAcentral describes it as "partial 16S ribosomal RNA". It matches the Rfam family "Bacterial small subunit ribosomal RNA", at positions 352 to 529 of the family's 1533-position model. The record is from RNAcentral.
CGCUGCGGUAUUUGGCUCAUUGGGCGAAGUCCUGAUCCAGCCAUGCCGCGUGAGUGAUGAAGGCCUUCGGGUUGUAAACCUCUUUUGUCAGGGAAGAAACUGACUGGACCCUUACCAAAAAGUCCUGAUAUUUUCGUGCCAACACCCCCCCGGA